UGGUAGUGUAUUGGACUACCAUGGCAGUCACGGGUAACGGGGAAUUAGGGUUCGAUUCCGGAGAGGGAGCCUGAGAAAUGGCUACCACUUCUAAGGAAGGCAGCAGGCGCGUAAAUUACCCAAUCCUGAUUCAGGGAGGUAGUGACAAGAAAUAACAACUCGGGUCCCUCACGGGACUGCGAGAUUGCAAUGAGAACAAUUUAAACCACUUAUCAAGGAACAAUUGGAGGGCAAGUCUGGUGCCAGCAGCCGCGGUAAUUCCAGCUCCAAUAGCGUAUAUUAAAGUUGUUGCAGUUAAAAAGCUCGUAGUUGAAUUUCUGGCCAGUUCUGCACUGCGCAGUUUGCCGGUGUAGGGCUUGGUCAUCCGUAGGGGAAGCCAGUUCGGCCUUCACUGGUCGGCUGGGGGAACCUACAAUUUACUGUGAAAAAAUUAGAGUGUUUCAGGCAGGCAAUCGCUUGGAUACUCCAGCAUGGAAUAAUGGAAUAGGACUUUGGUCUAUUUAUUGGUUUGAGAUCAAAGUAAUGAUUAAUAGGGACAGUUGGGGGCAUUCGUAUUUAAUUGUCAGAGGUGAAAUUCUUGGAUUUAUUAAAGACGAACUUAUGCGAAAGCAUUUGCCAAGGAUGUUUUCAUUAAUCAAGAACGAAAGUUAGGGGAUCAAAGACGAUCAGA
This 670-nucleotide ribosomal RNA is filed under the name uncultured ciliate. RNAcentral describes it as "SSU rRNA". It matches the Rfam family "Eukaryotic small subunit ribosomal RNA", at positions 326 to 1012 of the family's 1831-position model. The record is from RNAcentral. Lineage: Eukaryota; Ciliophora.